GCCGACGUGGCGGAAUUGGUAGACGCGCUGGAUUCAAAAUCCAGUUCAGGCAACUGAGUGGGGGUUCGAUUCCCCCCGUCGGUACC
This 86-nucleotide transfer RNA is filed under the name Saprospiraceae bacterium. RNAcentral's name for it is "tRNA-Leu". It matches the Rfam family "tRNA". Rfam says of the family: Transfer RNA (tRNA) molecules are approximately 80 nucleotides in length. Their secondary structure includes four short double-helical elements and three loops (D, anti-codon, and T loops). Further hydrogen bonds mediate the characteristic L-shaped molecular structure. tRNAs have two regions of fundamental functional importance: the anti-codon, which is responsible for specific mRNA codon recognition, and the 3' end, to which the tRNAs corresponding amino acid is attached (by aminoacyl-tRNA synthetases). tRNAs cope with the degeneracy of the genetic code in two manners: having more than one tRNA (with a specific anti-codon) for a particular amino acid; and 'wobble' base-pairing, i.e. permitting non-standard base-pairing at the 3rd anti-codon position. Lineage: Bacteria; Pseudomonadati; Bacteroidota; Saprospiria; Saprospirales; Saprospiraceae. The record is from RNAcentral.